RNAcentral lists this ribosomal RNA (311 nucleotides) under uncultured bacterium. RNAcentral's name for it is "bacterial SSU rRNA". It matches the Rfam family "Bacterial small subunit ribosomal RNA", at positions 28 to 334 of the family's 1533-position model. The record is from RNAcentral.
GACGAACGCUGGCGGCGUGCUUAACACAUGCAAGUCGAACGGUGAACUCGAGAGCUUGCUCUUGAGGGAUCAGUGGCGAACGGGUGAGUAACACGUGAGUAACCUGCCCCAGACUCUGGAAUAACACCUGGAAACAGGUGCUAAUACCGGAUACGACACGAACAGGCAUCUGUAUCGUGUGGAAAGAUUUAUCGGUCUGGGAUGGACUCGCGGCCUAUCAGCUUGUUGGUGAGGUAAUGGCUCACCAAGGCGACGACGGGUAGCCGGCCUGAGAGGGCGACCGGCCACACUGGGACUGAGACACGGCCCAG